GAUUCCCCUAGUAACGGCGAGUGAACCGGGAAGAGCUCAAAUUUGAAAUCUGGCGUCCUCAGGGCGUCCGAGUUGUAAUCUAUAGAGGCGUUUUCCGUGCCGGACCGUGUCCAAGUUCCUUGGAACAGGAUAUCAAAGAGGGUGACAAUCCCGUACUUGACACGACGACCGGUGCUCUGUGAUACGUCUUCUACGAGUCGAGUUGUUUGGGAAUGCAGCUCAAAAUGGGUGGUGAGUUCCAUCUAAAGCUAAAUAUUGGCGAGAGACCGAUAGCGAACAAGUACCGUGAGGGAAAGAUGAAAAGCACUUUGGAAAGAGAGUUAAACAGUACGUGAAAUUGUUGAAAGGGAAACGAUUUAAGUCAGUCGUGACCGAGAGGCUCAGCCGGUUCUGCCGGUGUAUUCCCCUCGGUCGG
RNAcentral lists this ribosomal RNA (415 nucleotides) under Papiliotrema laurentii. RNAcentral's name for it is "partial large subunit ribosomal RNA". It matches the Rfam family "Eukaryotic large subunit ribosomal RNA", at positions 73 to 494 of the family's 3401-position model. Lineage: Eukaryota; Fungi; Basidiomycota; Tremellomycetes; Tremellales; Rhynchogastremaceae. The record is from RNAcentral.